AUGAGGAGUAGCUGUCCUACUGCUGCCAGUAGUAAAGAGUUUCAGUUACUGGACAGCCGAGUACUGACUGGAUCUCAAUCAGGCGGCCGCCGGGAAGAGGCAGUCCGGGCAUCGGACGAGGCCGCUCGCGUUGCAGGCGGCGCAGGUGAGGACGCCGUCCUCGUCGCUCUGUUUCUUGCCGCUCCCGUCGUCGCUGUGCUUCUUCCGGCUCCCGUCGCAGCUGCCGCAGGGCACGUGGCGCUCGUCGCCGCAGCGGCCGCAGGGGGGAUGGGCCGGGCCGGGGGAUAUCGGGGCCGCGACGAUGCGGUUGAGCUCGCCGCACUCGUGGAGGCGCUGGACCUCCUCGACGCCACCGAGGUGCCGGCCGUCCACGAAGACCUGCGGGAGGGCCAGGCCCAGGCGGGGCGGCAGGAGCGCGGCGAACUCCGCCACGAAGGCGUUGUCCACGGCCAGGUCGCGCUCGUCGACGGUGGCGCCGAUCCCCCGCAGGAUGAAGCGCACGGUGUAGCAGUCCUCGUAGGUGCGGCGGACGACGCGGAGGGAGGUGGAGUAGAGCACGACGUGCACCUCUAG
Molecule: ribosomal RNA, 573 nt
Filed under: Triticum aestivum (bread wheat)
Lineage: Eukaryota; Viridiplantae; Streptophyta; Magnoliopsida; Poales; Poaceae
Description: partial small subunit ribosomal RNA
Source: RNAcentral